CGCAAGAGAGUGGCGCACGGGUGAGUAACACGUAGUUGACCUACCGUCGAGUGCCGGAUAACGGCCCGAAAGGGACGCUAAUACGGCGUAAGCUCCCGGUCUUUAGAGGGCUGAGAGAAAAGAUUAAUCGCUCGACGAGGGGACUGCGGCCCAUCAGGUAGUUGGGGAGGUAACGGCUUCCCAAGCCAACGACGGGUAGGGGGUCUGAGAGGAUGAUCCCCCACACUGGGACUGAGACACGGCCCAGACUCCUACGGGAGGCAGCAGUGAGGGAUAUUGGUCAAUGGGGGCAACCCUGAACCAGCGACGCCGCGUGGGUGAUGAAGGUCUUCGGAUCGUAAAACCCUUUUCUAGGUGACGAGACCAGGACGGUAGCCUAGGAAUAAGUCUCGGCUAACUACGUGCCAGCAGCCGCGGUAAAACGUAGGAGGCAAGCGUUAUCCGGAGUUACUGGGCGUAAAGCGUAUGUAGGCGGUUGGGCAAGUGGCGUGUGAAAGCUCCCGGCUAAACUGGGAGACGACAGGUCAGACUGCCGAACUCGAGUCCGAUAGAGGAGCGUAGAAUUCCGGGUGUAGCGGUGAAAUGUGUAGAGAUCCGGAGGAAUACCAGUGGCGCAAGCGGCGCUCUGGGUCGGGACUGACGCUGAGAUACGAAAGCGUGGGGAGCGAACGGGAUUAGAGACCCCGGUAGUCCACGCCGUAAACGAUGCGAACUGGGUGUUCACUCACCGACAGGUGAGGGAGUGCCGAAGCUAACGCGCUAAGUUCGCCGCCUGGGGAGUACGGUCGCAAGACUAAAACUC
This 802-nucleotide ribosomal RNA is filed under the name uncultured Bacillota bacterium. RNAcentral's name for it is "bacterial SSU rRNA". It matches the Rfam family "Bacterial small subunit ribosomal RNA", at positions 86 to 902 of the family's 1533-position model. The record is from RNAcentral. Lineage: Bacteria; Bacillati; Bacillota.